This 192-nucleotide microRNA precursor is filed under the name Oryza brachyantha (malo sina). RNAcentral describes it as "MIR812 microRNA precursor family". It matches the Rfam family "MIR812 microRNA precursor family". The record is from Rfam by way of RNAcentral. Lineage: Eukaryota; Viridiplantae; Streptophyta; Magnoliopsida; Poales; Poaceae.
AAUAAGAUCAUUUUUCAGUCUUUUGAUACAUUGUUUUGACCUCUUCGUCUUAUUUGAAAUUUUUUUGCUAUUAAUAUUUUUAUUCUGACCAGAUGAUAAAACAUGAAUAAUAUUUUAUACGUGACUAAUUUUUUAAAUUUUUUUAUAAUUUUUUAAAUAAGACGAAUGGUUAAACGUUGGACACGGAAAAAC